Molecule: non-coding RNA, 710 nt
Organism: Chiloscyllium plagiosum (whitespotted bambooshark)
Lineage: Eukaryota; Metazoa; Chordata; Chondrichthyes; Orectolobiformes; Hemiscylliidae
Source: RefSeq, a predicted model, not a curated record
UUGUUCGAGCAUAGCACGCCUACCCUUUGCUCUUGGACUCGGGCUGUUUCGGCCAUAUUGGCAAAGGAACAAUUAUGUCGACGGUCGUCGCCACCCAGAGACUUAAAUUUCAGUAUAGGUCCAAUUUAAUGUCAGUAUUAUCCAGAUAAGAAGGAAAAUUUGGAUUGUUAUGCUACCAGAAUUGCUGAGUUUCGCCAGCAACGUCUAUUUCUGCUGAUUUUUGUUUGCUGAGAUAAAAAAUAAUGAUAAAAUUGCUGCAAUCUUCCUGGAUCAUCUGUCUGCUUUCUCAUCAGAGAGGGAUGACUGGAGGUGGUUUAAAGCGUGCCAUAGACAAGGGAAAAAUUGAAAAGGAAAGUCCUUCAUGGUAGCUUCAUCUGGUGUGGAAGUUGAAUGCUUAAUGUUGGCAUUGUCAUGCAUCAGGAACCAACUGUCUAGUCAAGUGAACUGAACAAUAUAUAAUGUGAUAAUAACAGAAAUCUGGCUUAAAGAAGGACAUAUUCCUGGUGGCAUUUGAGAAUUUUUAUGUCAUUGAGCGGAAUCGAUUUGGGUACUGAGCGAAGACGACUAUGGUGAAAUGUAUGGCAGAAUCAGACAAGGUCCAACAUCAAGAUCAUCUGGCUCCAUCUUUUAUGCUUUUCACAAACAAUAUUCUUGCUAGUCAGCAGUGAGAUGCCAAUGGUUUAACACUGGAUAAAUGCAAUGAUAACAAA